GUAACCUGCCUGUAAGACUGGGAUAACUCCGGGAAACCGGGGCUAAUACCGGAUGCUUGAUUGAACCGCAUGGUUCAAUCAUAAAAGGUGGCUUUUAGCUACCACUUACAGAUGGACCCGCGGCGCAUUAGCUAGUUGGUGAGGUAACGGCUCACCAAGGCGACGAUGCGUAGCCGACCUGAGAGGGUGAUCGGCCACACUGGGACUGAGACACGGCCCAGACUCCUACGGGAGGCAGCAGUAGGGAAUCUUCCGCAAUGGACGAAAGUCUGACGGAGCAACGCCGCGUGAGUGAUGAAGGUUUUCGGAUCGUAAAACUCUGUUGUUAGGGAAGAACAAGUACCGUUCGAAUAGGGCGGCACCUUGACGGUACCUAACCAGAAAGCCACGGCUAACUACGUGCCAGCAGCCGCGGUAAUACGUAGGUGGCAAGCGUUGUCCGGAAUUAUUGGGCGUAAAGCGCGCG
This 466-nucleotide ribosomal RNA is filed under the name Bacillus licheniformis. RNAcentral's name for it is "bacterial SSU rRNA". It matches the Rfam family "Bacterial small subunit ribosomal RNA", at positions 121 to 571 of the family's 1533-position model. The record is from RNAcentral. Lineage: Bacteria; Bacillati; Bacillota; Bacilli; Caryophanales; Bacillaceae.